Molecule: ribosomal RNA, 253 nt
Filed under: uncultured bacterium
Lineage: Bacteria
Description: partial 16S ribosomal RNA
Rfam family: Bacterial small subunit ribosomal RNA
Source: RNAcentral
UACGAAGGGUGCUAGCGUUGUUCGGAAUCACUGGGCGUAAAGGGCGCGUAGGCGGCCGAUCAAGUCGGGGGUGAAAGCCUGUGGCUCAACCACAGAAUUGCCUUCGAUACUGUUUGGCUUGAGACCGGAAGAGGUUAGUGGAACUGCGAGUGUAGAGGUGAAAUUCGUAGAUAUUCGCAAGAACACCAGUGGCGAAGGCGGCUGACUGGUCCGGUUCUGACGCUGAGGCGCGAAAGCGUGGGGAGCAAACAGG